GACGAACGCUGGCGGCGUGCCUAAUACAUGCAAGUCGAACGGUCUUUUCUAUGGAAGCUUGCUUCCGCUGAGAAGAUAGUGGCGAACGGGUGAGUAACACGUGGGUAACCUGCCCAUAAGAGGGGGAUAACAUCCGGAAACGGGUGCUAAUACCGCAUAGUUUUCUUGAUCGCAUGAUUGAGAAAGGAAGACGGCCUUUGUGCUGUCGCUUAUGGAUGGACCCGCGGCGUAUUAGUUAAGUUGGUGAGGUAACGGCUCACCAAGACGAUGAUACGUAGCCGACCUGAGAGGGUGAUCGGCCACAUUGGGACUGAGACACGGCCCAAACUCCUACGGGAGGCAAGCAGUAGGGAAUCUUCCGCAAUGGACGAAAGUCUGACGGAGCAACGCCGCGUGAGUGAAGAAGGUUUUCGGAUCGUAAAACUCUGUUGUCAGAGAAGAACAAGUUGGAGAGUAACUGCUCCAGCCUUGACGGUAUCUGACCUAGAAAGCCACGGCUAACUA
This 504-nucleotide ribosomal RNA is filed under the name uncultured bacterium. Its description in RNAcentral is "bacterial SSU rRNA". It matches the Rfam family "Bacterial small subunit ribosomal RNA", at positions 28 to 503 of the family's 1533-position model. The record is from RNAcentral.